GAUGAACGCUAGCGGCAGGCCUAAUACAUGCAAGUCGAACGAUAUUUUCCAGCUUGCUGGGAGAGAAAGUGGCGCACGGGUGCGUAACGCGUAUGCAACCUACCUUUAUCAGGGGGAUAGCCCGGAGAAAUCCGGAUUAAUACCGCAUAAAAUCACAGAACGGCAUUGUUCAAUGAUCAAACAUUUAUGGGAUAAAGAUGGGCAUGCGUGUCAUUAGCUAGUUGGCGGGGUAACGGCCCACCAAGGCGACGAUGACUAGGGGAGAUGAGAGGAUGGACCCCCACACUGGUACUGAGACACGGACCAGACUCCUACAGGAGGCAGCAGUAAGGAAUAUUGGUCAAUGGAGGCAACUCUGAACCAGCCAUGCCGCGUGCAGGAAGACCGCCCUAUGGGUUGUAAACUGCUUUUAUCCGGGAAUAAACCUCCGAUCGUGAUCGGAGCUGAAUGUACCGGAAGAAUAAGGAUCGGCUAACUCCGUGCCAGCAGCCGCGGUAA
This 498-nucleotide ribosomal RNA is filed under the name uncultured bacterium. RNAcentral's name for it is "partial 16S ribosomal RNA". It matches the Rfam family "Bacterial small subunit ribosomal RNA", at positions 28 to 523 of the family's 1533-position model. The record is from RNAcentral.